Molecule: ribosomal RNA, 445 nt
Filed under: uncultured bacterium
Lineage: Bacteria
Description: bacterial SSU rRNA
Rfam family: Bacterial small subunit ribosomal RNA
Source: RNAcentral
UCCAGACUCCUACGGGAGGCAGCAGUGGGGAAUAUUGCGCAAUGGGGGCAACCCUGACGCAGCAACGCCGCGUGAUUGAAGAAGGCCUUCGGGUUGUAAAGAUCUUUAAUCAGGGACGAAAAAUGACGGUACCUGAAGAAUAAGCUCCGGCUAACUACGUGCCAGCAGCCGCGGUAAUACGUAGGGAGCGAGCGUUGUCCGGAAUUACUGGGUGUAAAGGGAGCGUAGGCGGGCGAGAAAGUUGAAUGUUAAAUCUACCGGCUUAACUGGUAGCUGCGUUCAAAACUUCUUGUCUUGAGUGAAGUAGAGGCAGGCGGAAUUCCUAGUGUAGCGGUGAAAUGCGUAGAUAUUAGGAGGAACACCAGUGGCGAAGGCGGCCUGCUGGGCUUUAACUGACGCUGAGGCUCGAAAGCGUGGGGAGCAAACAGGAUUAGAUACCCCCGUA